UUUCAAGAUUGCAGCAAUCA
RNAcentral lists this small nuclear RNA (20 nucleotides) under Arabidopsis thaliana (thale cress). RNAcentral's name for it is "snRNA_02250". The record is from RNAcentral. Lineage: Eukaryota; Viridiplantae; Streptophyta; Magnoliopsida; Brassicales; Brassicaceae.